UAACUUCGCCGGCGACCGGCGCACGGGUGAGUAACACGUGUGCAACCAACCCCGUACCGGGAGAUAACCCGCGGAAACGUGGACUAACAUCCCAUAACACUGUAUCAUCGCAUGGUGAUGCAUUUAAAAUUCCGGUGGUACGGGACGGGCACGCGCGACAUUAGGUAGUUGGCGGGGUAACGGCCCACCAAGCCGACGAUGUCUAGGGGUUCUGAGAGGAAGGUCCCCCACACUGGAACUGAGACACGGUCCAG
Molecule: ribosomal RNA, 254 nt
Filed under: uncultured bacterium
Lineage: Bacteria
Description: partial 16S ribosomal RNA
Rfam family: Bacterial small subunit ribosomal RNA
Source: RNAcentral